Molecule: small RNA, 65 nt
Organism: Lachnospiraceae bacterium A2
Lineage: Bacteria; Bacillati; Bacillota; Clostridia; Lachnospirales; Lachnospiraceae
Rfam family: int-alpA RNA
About the family: Acidobacteria (1 example), Planctomycetes (1 example), Proteobacteria.
Source: Rfam
UCUGGGGAUAGGCUGACGAGCCGAAAAGUACAAGCCUUAGUACCUGCCCCGGUUUGACAUAAGGC